This 293-nucleotide unclassified non-coding RNA is filed under the name Myosotis drucei. RNAcentral's name for it is "partial external transcribed spacer". The record is from RNAcentral. Lineage: Eukaryota; Viridiplantae; Streptophyta; Magnoliopsida; Boraginales; Boraginaceae.
CUUCAAUGAUGGCAAUCGAUUGUCUAAAAUAUAUUUUCGUCUUACGUUUCUCUCUUUGUAGAGGGACGUGAGGUGAACCAUGAAGUGAUCUCUAUUGCCCAAUCCACUCACAAUCCUUGUGCAUGUAGCUUGGAGCAUAGGAAUUUACUUGAUCUCUUGGAUGCGGUGCACUCUAUUUGGGCACGAGGAUUUCGUCCUCUUUCUGCCCAACAGUUGCUUCCGUUGCUUAAUUGCGAACGAUUGCGGUCAUCGUUUCGAGCCUCCUGGCAAGUGCGGUGAAGGCAUCGUUGAGG